UCUGGAACCACCUGGACCACUAUGUUACUAACUAAUUCACGACUCAAAAUGGAAAUGGCGGUAUUUUGGAUAUUGUUUAAUCUUGGGUGGGAUGUCUGCAUUCGUCGUGGGAGUUCGUUAGAUCGGGAGGAGAGGUAAGUCGCUCGGCAGUCGACCGCAAGGUGUUGAACGUGCUGCGUGUUUUUAUUGCGCAUCCACUUUGUUACCUACCUAUUCACGAUAUUUACGUUAUUAAAAUGCCUCUAACGCCUGCUGAGAAGCAGCGACGAUACCCGAGAACGCCGUAGAAAUAAUCAAGAAAAAGACGUUAAAAUAAUGUUUUUAAGGCAAUCGACGAUAAUGCAACAAAAUUCAAAUUAAUUAAGUGAUUUAUCCUAUGAGGCUUUUGAUAAUUUACUUGCCGUUGUUCCAGAACCUAAAAAAGUCUGCAAAGGUAAAAGAGUAUACUACCAAUUUCAUAAUCCCUUAGUUAAACUUGAGAAAUAAGUUAUUUCAAAUUUUCAGCUACUCUUCCAAGAAAAUCUAAUUUUUAUUACUAUAAAGAUAAGGAAUCUAUAAGAAAGUAAGCUCUUGAUUGAUAAAUUACAGUCAUAAGUUAAUGUUUUGAUGAAGUGAUUUGGAUCUCAAGCUCAAUAAGUGCAAAUUAUUACAUAUUAUUCAAUAAAAAUAACAACUAUGUUACUGUGUUACAACUCUGUUACUUUUCUGUCCCAAAGAUUAAAGAACAUAGUAAGAUUUUAAAGAAAAGCUAGUCAAUAUAAUAUAGCAAAUAUCGCGAUGCGUUAAUUUAUUAGAUAUUUUUACAGUAUUAUGUUCCAGUUAGCUGCUGAUAAAUAGAUAUUUGGAGGACUUAAGUAGAAUUUAAGGUAUUUUAAUAU
Molecule: long non-coding RNA, 878 nt
Organism: Ostrinia furnacalis (Asian corn borer)
Lineage: Eukaryota; Metazoa; Arthropoda; Insecta; Lepidoptera; Crambidae
Exons: 2
Source: RefSeq, a predicted model, not a curated record